RNAcentral lists this ribosomal RNA (520 nucleotides) under uncultured microorganism. RNAcentral describes it as "bacterial SSU rRNA". It matches the Rfam family "Bacterial small subunit ribosomal RNA", at positions 9 to 511 of the family's 1533-position model. The record is from RNAcentral.
GAGUUUGAUCUUGGCUCAGGAUGAACGCUGGCGGCGUGCCUAAUACAUGCAAGUCGAGUGAACAGACGAGGAGCUUGCUCCUCUGACGUUAGCGGCGGACGGGUGAGUAACACGUGGAUAACCUACCUAUAAGACUGGGAUAACUUCGGGAAACCGGAGCUAAUACCGGAUAAUAUAUUGAACCGCAUGGUUCAAUAGUGAAAGACGGUUUUGCUGUCACUUAUAGAUGGAUCCGCGCCGCAUUAGCUAGUUGGUAAAGUAACGGCUUACCAAGGCAACGAUGCGUAGCCGACCUGAGAGGGUGAUCGGCCACACUGGAACUGAGACACGGUCCAGACUCCUACGGGAGGCAGCAGUAGGGAAUCUUCCGCAAUGGGCGAAAGCCUGACGGAGCAACGCCGCGUGAGUGAUGAAGGUCUUCGGAUCGUAAAACUCUGUUAUUAGGGAAGAACAAAUGUGUAAGUAACUAUGCACGUCUUGACGGUACCUAAUCAGAAAGCCACGGCUAACUACGUGCCAG